This 463-nucleotide ribosomal RNA is filed under the name uncultured bacterium. Its description in RNAcentral is "partial 16S ribosomal RNA". It matches the Rfam family "Bacterial small subunit ribosomal RNA", at positions 28 to 506 of the family's 1533-position model. The record is from RNAcentral.
GACGAACGCUGGCGGCGUGCUUAACACAUGCAAGUCGAACGGUAAGGCCCCAGCUUGCUGGGGUACACGAGUGGCGAACGGGUGAGUAACACGUGGGUGACCUGCCCCGCACUUCGGGAUAAGCCUGGGAAACUGGGUCUAAUACCGGAUAGGACCGCACCGUGAGGGUGUGGUGGAAAGUUUUUCGGUGUGGGAUGGGCCCGCGGCCUAUCAGCUUGUUGGUGGGGUAAUGGCCUACCAAGGCGGCGACGGGUAGCCGGCCUGAGAGGGUGGACGGCCACAUUGGGACUGAGACACGGCCCAGACUCCUACGGGAGGCAGCAGUGGGGAAUAUUGCACAAUGGGCGGAAGCCUGAUGCAGCGACGCCGCGUGGGGGAUGACGGCCUUCGGGUGGUAAACUCCUUUCACCAUCGACGAAGGUUUUCUGACGGUAGAUGGAGAAGAAGCACCGGCUAACUACGU